Molecule: ribosomal RNA, 440 nt
Filed under: uncultured bacterium
Lineage: Bacteria
Description: partial 16S ribosomal RNA
Rfam family: Bacterial small subunit ribosomal RNA
Source: RNAcentral
CCUACGGGUGGCAGCAGUGGGGAAUAUUGCACAAUGGGGGAAACCCUGAUCCAGCGACGCCGCGUGAGGGAAGAAGGAAUUCGGUGUGGAAAGCUCUAUCAGCAGGGAAGAAAAUGACGGUACCUGAGUAAUAAGCCCCGGCUAACUACGUGCAGGCAGCCGCGGUAAUACGGAGGGGGCAAGCGUUAUCCGGAUUUACUGGGUGUAAAGGGAGCGUAGAGGGCAGUGCAAGUCUGGAGUGAAAGGCGGGGGCUCAACCCCCGGACUGCUAUGGAAACUGUACGGCUGGAGUGCAGGAGAGGUAGGUGGAAUUCGUAGUGUAGCGGUGAAAUGCGUAGAUAUUAGGAGGAACACCAGUGGCGAAGGCGGCUUACUGGACUGUCACUGACGUUGAGGCUCGAAAGCGUGGGGAGCAAACAGGAUUAGAUACCCGGGUAGUC